GCCCUUAACUCUGGGAUAAGCCUGGGAAACUGGGUCUAAUACCGGAUAUGACUCCUCAUCGCAUGGUGGGGGGUGGAAAGCUUUAUUGUGGUUUUGGAUGGACUCGCGGCCUAUCAGCUUGUUGGUGAGGUAAUGGCUCACCAAGGCGACGACGGGUAGCCGGCCUGAGAGGGUGACCGGCCACACUGGGACUGAGACACGGCCCAGACUCCUACGGGAGGCAGCAGUGGGGAAUAUUGCACAAUGGGCGAAAGCCUGAUGCAGCGACGCCGCGUGAGGGAUGACGGCCUUCGGGUUGUAAACCUCUUUCAGUAGGGAAGAAGCGAAAGUGACGGUACCUGCAGAAGAAGCGCCGGCUAACUACGUGCCAGCAGCCGCGGUAAUACGUAGGGCGCAAGCGUUAUCCGGAAUUAUUGGGCGUAAAGAGCUCGUAGGCGGUUUGUCGCGUCUGCCGUGAAAGUCCGGGGCUCAACUCCGGAUCUGCGGUGGGUACGGGCAGACUAGAGUGAUGUAGGGGAGACUGGAAUUCCUGGUGUAGCGGUGAAAUGCGCAGAUAUCAGGAGGAACACCGAUGGCGAAGGCAGGUCUCU
RNAcentral lists this ribosomal RNA (590 nucleotides) under Arthrobacter sp. B1321_3. RNAcentral describes it as "bacterial SSU rRNA". It matches the Rfam family "Bacterial small subunit ribosomal RNA", at positions 128 to 730 of the family's 1533-position model. Lineage: Bacteria; Bacillati; Actinomycetota; Actinomycetes; Micrococcales; Micrococcaceae. The record is from RNAcentral.